This 454-nucleotide unclassified non-coding RNA is filed under the name Hevea brasiliensis (rubber tree). Lineage: Eukaryota; Viridiplantae; Streptophyta; Magnoliopsida; Malpighiales; Euphorbiaceae. The record is from RNAcentral.
AAGCCGGCCACACCGUGAACGUCGUGGAGGAGGCUGUGUCGGAGGCCGUAGCCGCUGCAAAAGAUAAUACUGAGGAGACUCUGUCGGGGGCCAUGGCUGCUGCAAAAGAUGGUGGCCGAUUCAAGGGGACGGUGAAAUGGUUCAACGAGUCGAAUGGCUUUGGAUACAUUACUCCGGAUGAUGGCUGCAGGGAUGUCUUCGUCCACUUUUCGGCGAUCGUCGGUAAUGGUUUCAAGACGCUCGCCGAGGGUCAACACGUUGAGUACCGGAUUGUGGAGGAAAACAAAGGCCCGGCCGCUAUUGACGUCGUUGCUGUGGCGUAGGCGUUGUUCAGAAUAAUGGAGGGGUGCAAUAUCGUUUCUGUUUAUGUUGUGUGUAUGCAUUUAGGGUUUGUUUUGUUUUGGUAAGCAAUAAGGGUUGUUUUGUAAUGGUUUGUGCGGUAGCUGGUGUUGUU